This 468-nucleotide ribosomal RNA is filed under the name uncultured bacterium. Its description in RNAcentral is "partial 16S ribosomal RNA". It matches the Rfam family "Bacterial small subunit ribosomal RNA", at positions 28 to 507 of the family's 1533-position model. The record is from RNAcentral.
GACGAACGCUGGCGGCGUGCUUAACACAUGCAAGUCGAACGGAAAGGCCCUGCUUUUGUGGGGUGCUCGAGUGGCGAACGGGUGAGUAACACGUGAGUUACCUGCCCUUGACUUUGGGAUAACUUCAGGAAACUGGGGCUAAUACCGGAUAGGAGCUCCUGCUGCAUGGUGGGGGUUGGAAAGUUUCGGCGGUUGGGGAUGGACUCGCGGCUUAUCAGCUUGUUGGUGGGGUAGUGGCUUACCAAGGCUUUGACGGGUAGCCGGCCUGAGAGGGUGACCGGCCACAUUGGGACUGAGAUACGGCCCAGACUCCUACGGGAGGCAGCAGUGGGGAAUAUUGCACAAUGGGCGGAAGCCUGAUGCAGCAACGCCGCGUGCGGGAUGACGGCCUUCGGGUUGUAAACCGCUUUAGCCUGUGACGAAGCGUGAGUGACGGUAAUGGGUAAAGAAGCACCGGCUAACUACGUG